CCCUUAGAUGUUCUGGGCCACACGCGCGUUACACUGAUGAAGCCAGCGAGUAUAUCGCCUUCACCGGAAGGUGCGGGUAAUCUUGUGAAACUUCAUCGUGCUGGGGAUAGACCAUUGCAAUUAUUGGUCUUGAACGAGGAAUUCCUAGUAAGCAUGAGUCAUCAACUCGUGCUGAUUACGUCCCUGCCCUUUGUACACACCGCCCGUCGCUACUACCGAUUGAAUGGUUUAGUGAGAUCUCGGGAUUGGAGACGUUGCGCCGCAAGGCACAUCGUCCUCGAGAACUUGAUCAAACUUGAUCAUUUAGAGGAAGUAAAAGGCGUAACA
RNAcentral lists this ribosomal RNA (327 nucleotides) under uncultured eukaryote. RNAcentral describes it as "partial 18S ribosomal RNA". It matches the Rfam family "Eukaryotic small subunit ribosomal RNA", at positions 1470 to 1796 of the family's 1831-position model. The record is from RNAcentral.